UCCCUGGUGGUUCAAUGGCUAAGACUCCAUGCUCCCAAUGCAGGGGGCCCAGGUUCAAUCCCUGGUCAGGGAA
RNAcentral lists this transfer RNA (73 nucleotides) under Odocoileus virginianus texanus. It matches the Rfam family "tRNA". Rfam says of the family: Transfer RNA (tRNA) molecules are approximately 80 nucleotides in length. Their secondary structure includes four short double-helical elements and three loops (D, anti-codon, and T loops). RNAcentral also lists the same sequence under 7 other names. The record is from Rfam by way of RNAcentral. Lineage: Eukaryota; Metazoa; Chordata; Mammalia; Artiodactyla; Cervidae.